Long non-coding RNA from Hippopotamus amphibius kiboko, 365 nucleotides. RefSeq lists it as uncharacterized. The transcript has 3 exons. NCBI's taxonomy places the organism in Eukaryota, Metazoa, Chordata, Mammalia, Artiodactyla, Hippopotamidae. The record is from RefSeq and is a predicted model, not a curated record.
AUGUACACAGUCCUCCAGAAAGCUGGACACACAGCCUGAAGAUGAACUUCCUGCCCUGCCUUCCUCUGACCCAACACCAGACUAAAGAGACAGAGACGCUCUGAGUCUUUGUGGGCAAGAAUGUAUGGCUCUGCCCGAGGCCCUCUGGGCAGCCCAGCCUCGGCCAGCCCAACGGGUUAAGAGGGUGCAACCGGAGAGGAGAAUCAGAGCCGCUACUACCCACCACCCCAGGAGGACCCUGCCUGUGGCCACUACCUCGUGGGUGUAGGUGCGCAGGGGCACCCCGAAGGCUCGAGCCAGUCCAAAGUCGGCCAGCUUGAUGGCCCCCAGCUCACUGAUGAGCAGGUUCUGGGGCUUCAGGUCGC